UGGGGAAUUUUGGACAAUGGGCGAAAGCCUGAUCCAGCAAUGCCGCGUGUGUGAAGAAGGCCUUCGGGUUGUAAAGCACUUUUGUCCGGAAAGAAAUCCUCUGGGUUAAUACCUCGGGGGGAUGACGGUACCGGAAGAAUAAGCACCGGCUAACUACGUGCCAGCAGCCGCGGUAAUACGUAGGGUGCAAGCGUUAAUCGGAAUUACUGGGCGUAAAGCGUGCGCAGGCGGUUUUGUAAGACGGAUGUGAAAUCCCCGGGCUUAACCUGGGAACUGCAUUCGUGACUGCAAGGCUAGAGUAUGGCAGAGGGGGGUAGAAUUCCACGUGUAGCAGUGAAAUGCGUAGAGAUGUGGAGGAAUACCGAUGGCGAAGGCAGCCCCCUGGGCCAAUACUGACGCUCAUGCACGAAAGCGUGGGGGAGCAAAACAGGAUUAGAUACCCUGGUAGUCCACGCCCUAAAACGAUGUCAACUAGUUGUUGGGGAUUCAUUUCCUUAGUAACGUAGCUAACGCGUGAAGUUGACCGCCUGGGGAGUACGGUCG
RNAcentral lists this ribosomal RNA (543 nucleotides) under uncultured bacterium. Its description in RNAcentral is "partial 16S ribosomal RNA". It matches the Rfam family "Bacterial small subunit ribosomal RNA", at positions 355 to 888 of the family's 1533-position model. The record is from RNAcentral.